Long non-coding RNA from Aethina tumida (small hive beetle), 242 nucleotides. RefSeq lists it as uncharacterized. NCBI's taxonomy places the organism in Eukaryota, Metazoa, Arthropoda, Insecta, Coleoptera, Nitidulidae. The transcript is spliced from 2 exons. The record is from RefSeq and is a predicted model, not a curated record.
UAUGGAUAGUACGGUUGACCACAGAUGGCAAAGCCCAAGUCAAAAUCUUAUAUAAUAAACCUUACGGGAUAAAUCCACAGUGCACAGGGUAAACAUAGGAAAAGUAUACACAGUAUCUAAAUGCAGACAACACACAAUACGCGAAUGUAUAUCUACAUUAGCUUUGAAGAACUAUACACUCUUUUAAAGUGGAUAUUGUAUUUACCUCGUAAUAUUUUGUUUAAAUAAAUUUUAAUAAUGUU